UCUUACACAUGCAAGUCGAACGGUCUUUUCGGAGAUAGUGGCGGACGGGUGAGUAACGCGUAAGAAUCUACCUUCAGGUUGGGGACAACCACUGGAAACGGUGGCUAAUACCGAAUGUGCCGAGAGGUGAAAGGCUUGCUGCCUGAAGAAGAGCUUGCGUCUGAUUAGCUAGUUGGUGGGGUAAGAGCCUACCAAGGCGACGAUCAGUAGCUGGUCUGAGAGGAUGAUCAGCCACACUGGGACUGAGACACGGCCCAGACUCCUACGGGAGGCAGCAGUGGGGAAUUUUCCGCAAUGGGCGAAAGCCUGACGGAGCAAUACCGCGUGAGGGAGGAAGGCUCUUGGGUUGUAAACCUCUUUUCUCAGGGAAGAAGAAAGUGACGGUACCUGAGGAAUAAGCAUCGGCUAACUCCGUGCCAGCAGCCGCGGUAAUACGGAGGAUGCAAGCGUUAUCCGGAAUGAUUGGGCGUAAAGGGUCCGCAGGUGGCAUUGUAAGUCUGCUGUUAAAGAGUCACGCUCAACGUGAUAAAAGCAGUGGAAACUACAAAGCUAGAGUAUGGUCGGGGCAGAGGGAAUUCCUGGUGUAGCGGUGAAAUGCGUAGAUAUCAGGAAGAACAUCGGUGGCGAAGGCGCUCUGCUAGGCCAAAACUGACACUGAGGGACGAAAGCUAGGGGAGCGAAUGGGAUUAGAUACCCCAGUAGUCCUAGCCGUAACGAUGGAUACUAGGCGUAGCUCGUAUCGACCCGAGCUGUGCCGUAGCUAACGCGUUAAGUAUCCCGCCUGG
Molecule: ribosomal RNA, 785 nt
Filed under: uncultured cyanobacterium
Lineage: Bacteria; Bacillati; Cyanobacteriota
Description: bacterial SSU rRNA
Rfam family: Bacterial small subunit ribosomal RNA
Source: RNAcentral